AAUUCCUGAAGACCUGUAUAACACUAUUAUACAUCACCUGAUUGCAACUCAAACACUUUAAUUAAGCUA
Molecule: transfer RNA, 69 nt
Filed under: Cnemaspis podihuna
Lineage: Eukaryota; Metazoa; Chordata; Lepidosauria; Squamata; Gekkonidae
Description: tRNA-Ala
Source: RNAcentral